ACACAUGCAAGUCGAGGGGCAGCAUUGGAGUAGCAAUACUUCAGAUGGCGACCGGCGCACGGGUGAGUAACACGUAUCCAACCUGCCGCUUACUCGGGGAUAGCCUUUCGAAAGAAAGAUUAAUACCCGAUGGUAUAAAGAGUUCGCAUGUUCUCUUUAUUAAAGAAUUUCGGUAAGCGAUGGGGAUGCGUUCCAUUAGAUAGUUGGCGGGGUAACGGCCCACCAAGUCUACGAUGGAUAGGGGUUCUGAGAGGAAGGUCCCCCACAUUGGAACUGAGACACGGUCCAAACUCCUACGGGAGGCAGCAGUGAGGAAUAUUGGUCAAUGGACGAGAGUCUGAACCAGCCGAGUAGCGUGAAGGAUGACUGCCCUAUGGGUUGUAAACUUCUUUUAUAAGGGAAUAAAGUGAGGGACGUGUCCCUUUUUGUAUGUACCUUAUGAAUAAGGAUCGGCUAACUCCGUGCCAGCAGCCGCGGUAAUACGGAGGAUCCGAGCGUUAUCCGGAUUUAUUGGGUUUAAAGGGAGCGUAGGUUGACAUAUAAGUCAGCUGUGAAAGUUUACGGCUCAACCGUGAAAUUGCAGUUGAUACUGUAUGUCUUGAGUGUACAAGAGGUGGGCGGAAUUCGUGGUGUAGCGGUGAAAUGCUUAGAUAUCACGAAGAACUCCAAUUGCGAAGGCAGCUCACUGGGGUACAACUGACACUGAGGCUCGAAAGUGUGGGUAUCAAACAGGAUUAGAUACCCUGGUAGUCCACACAGUAAACGAUGAAUACUCGCUGUUUGCGAUAUACAGUAAGCGGCCAAGCGAAAGCAUUAAGUA
This 820-nucleotide ribosomal RNA is filed under the name uncultured bacterium. RNAcentral's name for it is "bacterial SSU rRNA". It matches the Rfam family "Bacterial small subunit ribosomal RNA", at positions 51 to 866 of the family's 1533-position model. The record is from RNAcentral.